CGGAGGGUGCAAGCGUUAUCCGGAUUUAUUGGGUUUAAAGGGUCCGUAGGCGGAUCCGUAAGUCAGUGGUGAAAUCUCACAGCUUAACUGUGAAACUGCCAUUGAUACUGCGGGUCUUGAGUAAGGUAGAAGUGGCUGGAGUAAGUAGUGUAGCGGUGAAAUGCAUAGAUAUUACUUAGGACACCAAUUGCGAAGGCAGGUCACUAUGUCUUAACUGACGCUGAUGGACGAAAGCGUGGGGAGCGAACAGGAUUAGAUACCCUGGUAGUCCACGCCGUAAACGAUGCUAACUCGUUUUUGGGCUUUCGGGUUCAGAGACUAAGCGAAAGUGAUAAGUUAGCCACCUGGGGAGUACGUUCGCAAGAAUG
Molecule: ribosomal RNA, 368 nt
Filed under: uncultured organism
Description: bacterial SSU rRNA
Rfam family: Bacterial small subunit ribosomal RNA
Source: RNAcentral